RNAcentral lists this ribosomal RNA (3369 nucleotides) under Triticum aestivum (bread wheat). RNAcentral's name for it is "partial small subunit ribosomal RNA". The record is from RNAcentral. Lineage: Eukaryota; Viridiplantae; Streptophyta; Magnoliopsida; Poales; Poaceae.
AUGGCGACGAUGGCGGCGUGUCACCUUGAUUCCGGUGAUGGCGAAGGGGCCGAACGGGCUGGCCGCAGGCAGAAUGGCGAUGGAUGGCAAGGGUUCGAACAAGGUAGCAACAGGGCCGGCGGGGGACCGGCGGGAGGCACGCCGGCGAAGAUGCAGAGAAUGCGCAGACGCGAGAGAGAGCCGCGGAGUUUUGCUCAGCCACUGUUAGUCGGCGUCGGAAUUUGGGGCCUAUUGGUGGCCGGCGUCGCUCCCCGCAGGAUCGAGUCCUGGACCACGCAGCUAGCAGUAGAAGUAGGAGGGCCUUCACUUCAGGGUUGCGUCGUACUACCUGCGAUAGGUACUGGAGGCGGUGCUGCCAUUUUCUGGGAUAAACAUCUGGUCAACGUAGUUACGCACAUGAUUGCUAGCUUCUCCAUUACGGUUAGGGUAGAGAUCAUCGGCAGCGGCGAGUUCUUUUGGAUGACAAGCAUGGCUUUUGUGGGUGCAUCUCUCAUCACCGACAGCAAGUUGUGCGCCGCCACCGAGUCGGUCGUCGACUCUAGCACGGUGCGGGAGACCAAGCUGGGCAUUCUUGUUGCCUGGGAUCCAGGUGUGGUGGUUGGCCAGCCAGUCUCAACACACAAAUAUCAUGUUACUGUCAGUUUCUCAUCCACAACCACCAAUGUUUCCUUUGUGCUCACUUCAGUAUACGCUCCUUGCCUAAAUUCAGAUAGACCUGCUUUCUUCGAGACUAUGAACAAUAUUGCCGUGCCGGCUAAGGCCCCUUGGGUGGUUGUGGGCGAUUUCAACAUGUAUCGGUUUGCUUCUGAAAAAUCCCGUGGCAUUGUUAACUGGAGGGUCAUGGAAACUUUCAACUCAUGGGUCAGAGAUCAUGGUUUGGAUGAUGUUCAUUUGGAUAACAAGAAAUUCACCUGGACCAAUACAAGGAGUACCCCUACAAUGGCUCAGUUGGAUCGGGUUUUGGUCAAUGCUUAUUGGAAUCCUGGUUUUAUGCUGACCACAGCCACUGUCGUGCCAGGCACUACCUCUGAUCAUACACCCAUUUUGGUUCAGUUCUCUGCCGAUGUAACGAGAAGCAGUUUGUUUAGGAUGGAAGAUCAUUGGCUUGAGAUGGAGGAAACAACUUCGAAGAUGAGGAGAGUUAGAGCUGCCCUCCGUGCUUGGAGCAGGAAAAAAUCGAGCCUCAGAAUCUACACAGACAAUAACAAACACGUGGUAAACUUCCUAAAUGUAGUGGAAGAAAGGCGCUCCCUCUCUAUUCUUGAAGUUGUGCUUCGAGAAACUGCAUCUGCUAAAGCUGAGAAACUAAUUUUGUGGCAAACUGCCCUCUGGCGAUGUCGCGCCAAAGUGCGUUGUGUGAGCUGGAGCUGCCUCUUCCAAAUCUUUGAAGCUAGAGGCUUUCCACAGAGGUGGAUUCAGUGGAUCUCCUCCUUGCUAUCCACUGGUAAAUCACAAGUGCUAAUGAAUGGAGAGCUUGGGGAUGCUUUCUCCGCUAAGAAGGGCUUUCGUCAAGGGGACUCUCUGUCUCCAUACCUUUUCAUCUUGGUUGCUGAUGUGCUUCAGCGACUAUGCUGCAUGCAUUUCCAGGCUGGCAGUUUGCUGCACCCCCUUGGCUCGGAUGUUUUGUUCCUAGUUUUGCAGUACGCGGACGACACUCUGCUCAUCUUCCAGGGUGAUUUGCAGCAAGCGGAGGUUAUCAAAACCAUCCUUUCUGCUUUCUCAGAUUUCUCUGGCCUGCAAAUUAAUUUCCACAAGAGUACGUUGGUCCCGGUUUCAGUUGAUGCUGACCUUGCGCUGGAUAUUGCCCGUGUCCUUGGCUGUCCUGUCUCCUCCUUCCCGUGCACUUACCUCGGCUUACCUCUGUCUCUGAAUAAGAUUACGCAUGGUAUGCUCCUACCUGUUAUACACAGAGUUGACAAGAGGUUGUCGGGCUGGUUAGCUACUUUCCUUUCAUGGGGUGGCAGGCUUACUUUGCUUAACUCGGUGCUUGCCGGCAUCCCCAGCUAUUUCAUGACUUGCUUCCCGUGGCCAAAGGAGUCAAUUAAUAAGUUGGAGGGGCUUUUGCACGCUUUCUUCUGGCAAGGCAAGAGCAAAACCUCGGGGGGUCACUACCUUGUAGCUUGGGAUAAAGUCAUCUUGCCACGAAAUAACUUACCUAGUGGCAAUCAUACAAGAGACACUGCCUUCUGGAAAGGACUCAAAUCUUGCAUCCCGCUGGUCAUGUUUUCUUCCCGUUGCUCGGUUGGUUCAGGGGCUCUGGUCUCCUUUUGGCAGGAUCAGUGGCUAGAGGUGGGGAGGCUAAUGUUUGUGCUGCCAGUCUUAUAUUCUUUUGCCAAAGAUAAAUUUUGUUCAGUUCAGUCGCAAAUAUCCUCAGGUGGUUGGGAUAUCCAGUUAUAUCCAAAUUUAUCGCAUACAGCCUUGCAAGAGCUGCAGGUCCUGCAUGCCCUCGUUGCGCAUGGCACCUGGAGCAGUGAUGCCACUGUCACAAUCGAUUGUGAUAUCUGUCUUGCUGUGGAGUCAGUUGCUCACAUUGUUUUGCGGUGCCGUCCUGUUGAACAUCUCUGGGGCAAGCUGCAGUUGGACGCGUUGGCGAGUGUUUCCCCUAACCUGUUGUCUUUCUUUGAACGCGCUGCUCAACAGCUCACUCCCAAAAGGAUAUGGAAUGUUGCUUUUGCAGCCUGCGCCGUCACUUUAUGGCAUGCUCGGAAUGAUCGAGUUUUCAACAAGAAGGUUUGGUCUGGUCCUUACACAAGUUUCAUUGACCAGCCCGGGUUGCGGGUGCCAAAGCACAUCCGCCAAAGCGAACCAGUUUACUUGGAUGAACGUCUUGAUGGUCAGUAUGUAUUCAUGAAGAAGGAGGAUUUUGAAAGAUCAAGGCAUCUCAAGGACGACAGCUUCGUCCUUUGGUGUGACCUUGUUGUGUGCAAGCCGGGCGCGAACACCAAGGGGCGGAGCGCCUGCUGCACCUCCCGUCCAUUCACGAAAUUACCACCGCCUGACUUGCAAAGCCAUCUAGGCAAUCUCCUUCUGAGCAAGGAGUGUGCUGACAUUACGUUUGAGGUUGGCGGCGAGGAGUUUGCUCCGCAUCGUGUUGUCAAGAUAAAUGGCAUCAAAGCAGACGUCUUUAGGGGCUUGCUUACCUUCAUCUACACUGAUGCAGUACCAGACUUUGACGACAUGCAAGCAGAUGAUGACGGUAAUAAAACAUAUGCAACCCGGCUGCUCGAGUUCCUUGAAGCUGCGGAAAGAUACAAUCUCGAAAAGCUCAAAUCGAUCUGUGAAGAGAAGUUGGCCAAUUAUAUAUGUGACAUGGAGUCAGACAUCAUCGCCAAUGAGCUUCUCUCCAAGUUUGCUUCGCUGAACCUCUGA